UGAUUCGUCACACUAUCGUUAACUGAAUACAUAGGUUAACGAGGCGAACCGGGGGAACUGAAACAUCUAAGUACCCCGAGGAAAAGAAAUCAACCGAGAUUCCCCCAGUAGCGGCGAGCGAACGGGGAGCAGCCCAGAGUCUGAAUCAGCUUGUGUGUUAGUGGAACGGUCUGGAAAGUCCGACGGUACAGGGUGAUAGUCCCGUACACCAAAAUGCACAGGCUGUGAACUCGAAGAGUAGGGCGGGACACGUGGUAUCCUGUCUGAAUAUGGGGGGACCAUCCUCCAAGGCUAAAUACUCCUGACUGACCGAUAGUGAACCAGUACCGUGAGGGAAAGGCGAAAAGAACCCCGGCGAGGGGAGUGAAAAAGAACCUGAAACCGUGUACGUACAAGCAGUGGGAGCACCUUCGGGUGUGACUGCGUACCUUUUGUAUAAUGGGUCAGCGACUUAUAUUCUGUAGCAAGGUUAACCGUAUAGGGGAGCCGCAGGGAAACCGAGUCUUAACUGGGCGUUAAGUUGCAGGGUAUAGACCCGAAACCCGGUGAUCUAGCCAUGGGCAGGUUGAAGGUUGGGUAACACUAACUGGAGGACCGAACCGACUAAUGUUGAAAAAUUAGCGGAUGACUUGUGGCUGGGGGUGAAAGGCCAAUCAAACCGGGAGAUAGCUGGUUCUCCCCGAAAGCU
Molecule: ribosomal RNA, 688 nt
Filed under: Klebsiella pneumoniae
Lineage: Bacteria; Pseudomonadati; Pseudomonadota; Gammaproteobacteria; Enterobacterales; Enterobacteriaceae
Description: partial 23S ribosomal RNA
Rfam family: Bacterial large subunit ribosomal RNA
Source: RNAcentral